UCAAAGAGAUUGGCGUAUAUCGGACUAGCCAAACAUGCGCAGGACGCGGGGGCAGCGCCCGCCGCCUCCACCACAACCACUCCGCCUGUCCUUGGCCAAAAGGACCCUCACGGGUGAGGCUGAGUCUGGGAGUUCGAACCGGAGUGGUUUUGAUGGGGGCGAAACAGGAUCGACUGGCAUUGGGAAGUGAAGACGCGCCACGGUAAGGAACGACCGACAACUCAGUCCAAAAACGUAACUGCAAA
RNAcentral lists this transfer-messenger RNA (245 nucleotides) under Ensifer meliloti. RNAcentral's name for it is "Sinorhizobium meliloti transfer-messenger RNA". It matches the Rfam family "Alphaproteobacteria transfer-messenger RNA", at positions 46 to 236 of the family's 355-position model. From Rfam's summary of the family: Bacterial tmRNA, also known as 10Sa RNA or SsrA, is named for its dual tRNA and mRNA-like properties. Its role is to liberate the mRNA from a stalled ribosome. Lineage: Bacteria; Pseudomonadati; Pseudomonadota; Alphaproteobacteria; Hyphomicrobiales; Rhizobiaceae. The record is from RNAcentral.